AUACGGAGGAUCCGAGCGUUAUCCGGAUUUAUUGGGUUUAAAGGGUGCGCAGGCGGCCAUUUAAGUCAGCGGUUAAAUCGUGGGGCUCAACCCCAUUCUGCCGUUGAUACUGGGUGGCUUGAUUGCGGUCGAGGAUGGCGGAAUUCGUUGUGGAGCGGUGAAAUGCAUAGAUAUGACGAAGAACACCGAUUGCGUAGGCAGCUGACCAGACCGCAAAUGACGCUCACGCACGAAAGUGCGGGGAUCGAACAGGAUUAGAUUCCCUGGUAGUCCGCACAGUAAACGAUGAAUACUUGUUUUCGGCGAUAUAAUGUCGGAGGCAAAGCGAAAGCGAUAAGUAUUCCACCUGGGGAGUACGCCGGCAACGGUGAAACUCAAAGGAAUUGACGGGG
This 392-nucleotide ribosomal RNA is filed under the name uncultured bacterium. Its description in RNAcentral is "partial 16S ribosomal RNA". It matches the Rfam family "Bacterial small subunit ribosomal RNA", at positions 523 to 918 of the family's 1533-position model. The record is from RNAcentral.